GUUGGUUGACAAAAAUAGUCCAUUAACAUGGACUUAUGAUGAUUUUGAAUCAUUGAGUGUUGAAGUGAUUAAAUCACUUAACGAGACGGAAACUAGGCAAGGACUUCACCUUUGUUUCCCUAUCCUAAUGGUUCACUAAGUUUAUGGUAAACUAUGUAGUGAACAAUAAUCACAUGCUCUCCAAAUUGUUUGAUGUGUAUAACACAAUUGAAAAAAGUUUCAAGAGAGAUAGUGGGAGUUUAGGGACCAUGACUAUUGUAGUCAAAGGAGAAGUCAAAUGAAGAAGAUAAUAACUCCAAGGGAACAAACUUUCUUUAUGAAAGGAUGGACAUUGGAAGGGGUAUUUGCAAGAAAUGUCUUGCAAGUGUCAAGAACACACCUUUCGAAGGUAUUGUAAAUUGUUCUUGAAAUAGUUCAAAACAGUUGGUUCUUCUACUUGAAUGUUUGAUUCCGUAUUAGUAACUAUGUUUUACAAUCGUUGUA
This 483-nucleotide long non-coding RNA is filed under the name Malus domestica (apple). Its description in RNAcentral is "long non-coding RNA (MDOM_LNC005763)". Lineage: Eukaryota; Viridiplantae; Streptophyta; Magnoliopsida; Rosales; Rosaceae. The record is from RNAcentral.